Phascolarctos cinereus (koala) is the source of this 3821-nucleotide long non-coding RNA. RefSeq lists it as uncharacterized. The record is from RefSeq and is a predicted model, not a curated record. NCBI's taxonomy places the organism in Eukaryota, Metazoa, Chordata, Mammalia, Diprotodontia, Phascolarctidae.
CAGGGUCAUACAGCUGGUAAGUGUUUGUACCACCUAGCUGCCCUCCGUUAGGAAGGACAUUGACAAAUUGAGGUGUCCAGAGGAGGGCCCAGAGUCCAUGCUAUCUGAGGACCUGGGGAUGUUGACUCUUCAGAGUCAAAGGCUAAAGGGGAUGAUGUGAGACCUGCCUUCCAAUAUUUAUAGGACUGUCAUGUGUGGGGGGGGGGUGGUCAGACUUGUUCUGACCCUCUCCCACAAGGCGAAUCAGAGAGCUAUGAAAAUCGCCCAGGCUGAUGUAAGCGCGAUAAAAGAGAAAACCUCCCAGCGAUGAAGGAAGCUGUGGUGAAGGGCCACCAGAAGGUCUUGUCUGGGUGCUUGCAGCAGAACCAGUGUGGAGGGGCCACUCUCUUCCUGGGGGGCCUUCAAGCAGAAGCUGGAUGGAGAGGGGCUCUGCAGUAAGGCUGCUUAGGGGAGGGGAGCUGGUUUGUGGAGGGCCUUGAAUGCCAGGCUGAGUCGUUUGUGUUGUUCUGAGCUCAUAGGAGUUCUUCGGUGCGUUCGGGAAGGGUGGAGACAGAGGCUGCAGGACUUGGUUGGUGCCUUGCAUUUGGUAUUUUUCUCUUUGUUUUUUUAGAGGCUAGAGAGGAAAGGCUGCAGAUGCUCCAUCCCUCAUUUGAUGCCUCGCUUCACCUUGCUAGGCCUGGGUCACUGAGCGUCAGAAACUGCUUGUGGUUGGCUCUGCCGAGAGUCCUUUUUUUUGCCUCCUGGGCUGGCGGAGAAAGUGGUUCCUUGUCCUCCUCCUGCAGCGGGGUUUGUCCAGGCUGAAGAUCCUCUCUGCUGUCUGGAGAUGGGAGUCUCCCUUGGCAUCCAGGCUUGUCAGGAGACGCUCUCUGCAGGGCCUUGCCAGACUCCCCGCCCCACCCCAGCAGCCAUCCCCCAUCCUUCUGAUCCCUUGCUCUGGCUGUGUUCGUGUCUUCUCUUUCUUAGAACCAAACAGUUCCUCCCAGAUGCCCAUUUUUCAUGUGACAAGCCCAAAUCUGUUUGGGGGUGCCUUUGACAGAACUGUGAAACCCGGAAUCAGGAGAACCAGCAUUUACUCUCUCUGAUCUUGGUUGAGGCAGAGGGAGUGUGGCUCAGUGGCUACAGUGUCAGGACUUGGGUUUCUUCCCACUGAUGGUGCUUUCUCCCUGUGUGGCUUUGUGCGGGAACCUCACUGUCCUUGGUGAUGAAGCAGGUGGGUUGGCCCAGAGGGAGUUGGGGAGAGAGCUCAUAUUACAACCUGCGGAUUUGGGAGCCAGGGAAGCUGGCUUGAAGACCAGCUUAGAACAAUGGCCCAAAUCUAAUUAAGGUGAAAUGUAAUCAGGGCAUGCUGGUAACGGAGCACACCCAUACCCACAUGUAGUCCUGCCGAGGCUCACACAUCUCUCAGUACUGGGUGGGAGCAGCAGGAUUAGACAAGGCUACCCUAAACUCCUGGCAUCUUGGGCUAAGCAAAAUGCCUGGGACCACAGAGGGUUCCUUCCUACAAUAGGCAGAAGAUGGCACUCCUUUGGAGGCUGGGUCAACAAACUGGUGUCUGUCCAGAGGACUCACCAGGGAGUCAGGCCUUAUGGGCAGCAGUCGAAGGUAGGGAUGUGUAGCCUGCAGAACAGGACGGUCAUCUUCAGGUGUUUGAAAGGCUGUCUACGGAGCAGAGGCUGGCCUUGGUCAGCCUGCUCCCAGAGGCCAGACGAGGUCCAGGGGGGCCCAGGUUCAGCUUGUGGACCAAAUGUAGGGUUAGCGCUAUCCAGCCAUAAAGCAGAUUUCCGAGGGAGGCCACUCUGGGCUCCUUGCUGGGGGUGGCAUUCAGUGCCUUCUGCAUUAGAGUGGACUACAGCUUUCCUCUUCUCCUCCCAACCCAGAUUCUGUAGAAAACCUCAAGGAUCUAAGUUCCCUGAAGAGGAAGUUGGCAUGCCUUCUACCUCCCGUGUCACCCCACCCCGAGAGUCCGUCAGGCAGCUCGUCCCAGUUGCCCUGUCUCUGUCUCGCAUGUACAUGGGUGUUGAUUUGUGGUCUUUCCCAUUAGACUGUGAGCUCCAUGAGGGCAGGCGCGCUCUGGUUCUGCCUGUCUUUGUAGCCCCAGUGCUUAGUCCAGUGCUGGGUACACAGUUGGCACUUAAUUAUUGCUCGUCACCCGACUUCCAUCACAGUUCUCCCCAUCUACUGCUCAGUAAAGUCUCAAUUCCUUUUCUUGGCAUCUCGGGCCCUCCAUGAUUUGGCUCUGGCUGACCUUGCUAGCCUUCUCUGAGGCUGUACCCUCUCUGGGUGUGGCUCACUGCUCCUUCUGCCCUCUGUCUGCCAUGCCUGGGCUGGACUUGACGCCCCUGGGACCGUUCACAUCUGCCGCUGGUGUUCCCUCUUCCAGAAAGCUUGCUCGGAUUGCCUGCCUUCUCCAGCAAGCUCCCAGCUCCCUCCUGACCCUUUCUCUCCCUUGCACCUGUCACCUCAUGACUUAUGUCUUAUUUGUGUAUAGCAUUUCCCCCAUUGGGUGGCAAGCUCUUGGGGGCUGGGCUUUGUUUUCUUUCUCUCUCCCUCUGUGCCUAGCACAGGACUUUGUAGAGCAUAGCUGCCUGGUCAGGUUGUGGCAUUUAAUUUGGCUGCCCAGAGUCAGAGGCCCCUGACCCUCCAGGAGGUAGCCAGGGCCAGGGUCUCUUCUCUUUGGGAUCAAGGAGUCAGCUCAGCAUUUAUGCAGUACCCACUGUGCUGUGUAGAGCCCAGCCCUGCCCAAGGGACACCGAAGGAUCACUGAUGGGGACAGUGGAAUGGGGAGGGUGUGGUGUGGGCAUAAGUCAGUGUGAUACAGAAGGGAGUGUCAGGGCCAAGGACAGAGCCAGGCAGGGGGCUCAGUUAGGAUCUGAGGGAAGUGGACAUACUUGGGCCACUGGGACGAAGAGGCAGAAUUGUGAGGCAGCACGUCGAGGUCAGAACAGUUUUGUUCUUUUGUCCUUCUCAGGAGCCCAGUCCUCUGGCUCGUUCUCUCUGCUCUUCUCCAGAGCUUUUUCCAUUUCUUGUGAAGUGAAGAGUAGAAGAAUUAUGUCCAUUUUACAGAAAAGGACAUUAAGGUUUGAAGGGUGGCAGGCUCUUGUCCCUGGCUGUGAAGCUCACCCUGCCUUAACCUGGAGUGAGAAUGGGUGGCUAGCUCUGGGCUCCCAGGGAUCCUGCUGGCCUUUGUUCCCUGGUUGAUUCUUCCUGAGCCUUGCAGAGACGUAUGGAGCUGUGCCUGAGAUGUGCUGGCCUGCCGUCCUGUGUGUUCAGGACAUGGACAUCAUUAAUUUCUGCUUGAGCAGCUAGAAUUAUUCAGGGCAGCUUUUACUUAAAAGGAAAAGCCAGUGAAUCUGCACUCUGAUUGGAGAGAGAGGCUGGGGUGGAGGCCUGGAGGCUGGGAAUUUUUCAGAGGUAGGAAGAUGCAGGGAGAGCCAGUUUGGUCCCAGCUUGGUGCCUGGGCUGUCUGCUCGGCUGCCUCCCCCACCUAGGCUGAAGAUUUGAUUGGUUUGGGGAAGGUCUGUGCCUUCAGUCACUGUGCAGUGGCUGGGCGCCUUCUCUCGGACUUGCUUCUGUUCCUCUAUUGGUUAUAUUUCUUCCUUGCCCUGGUGCGUCCUGGGGUGCACAUGCCACCCAGCCCCCUGGCAUCUUCCCGGCCACUCCUGUGGUGACCUGCCGUCCUCCAGCCCCUGGCUUCAGCCUGUGCUUGUCAUGGCUUUUUUUGUCAACUCAAUUCUUCUUUGGUAGAAUGGGUCUAUUUUUAAAAAAUUAUUAUUUUUGUUAUUUUGUUAUUUUUUUAAAUUAAAAAAAUUUUUUUGAAUGGG